UGGGUCCUCAUCCUGCCUGCCACACAGCCGUAUCAUGACAGGUUUGAGCGCAGAGUCAAGGAGGCCACUUACGUGAAAAGGGAAAGACCAUCUCUGAAUCAAGGAGGGGGCCUAAGGGGACAUCUUUCACAUCUUACAAUGCUAUGAUUGCAGCCAUUCCCCCACUUUCUGUGAAUGGCCAUUGAUCAGUGGUCUUUGAUCUAUGGUCAUGAGAAUUUGCAUAUUAAUUAUCAACGAACUGACCUCCCAGCCCAUUGUCCCUUCAGUGGUGUUAGUGUCAGUCAUUAUGGAAAUGUACUGUUUUUAAGUUUGGGGAAGCCUGGGUGAUUCAGCUGCAUCGAGACGUUUUCCAAAGCAAACUCAGCAGAAUCAUUGUUGCAUUGUCUGCAUAGGAAAAUAAAAAAGUAGUGUUUGUUUUUCAGGAAUAUAACAACAGAGCAAAAAAUCUUUAAUUGGCUGAUGUUUGUGCAGUAUUUGUGUUAAAAAUAAAUAAUCUGUCAUGCUCGUUUAUACUGCCCACACAGAGACAAACAGGACAACUCAGAAGUUUCCAAUUCUCUGCCUGCCCAGCAACAUCAAACUGAAGUGAACUCCAUAUUUAAGCUGCUGGAGGACAAAAUAACUACUUUUGUGAAGAACGAGCUAAAGAAGGCACAGAAUGAACUCAAUUCAGAUUACACCCAAUCAUCAGAGAGUCAGACACAUGAUGAGGAUGUGUUGGGCAGUGAGGAUGAGGAGCAGAGGAGAAGCAGUAGAGAAAAUGAAACAGGAACAGCUGGCUGCUCGUCUGCUGAGCAAUUUCUGUGAACUAAAUUUGGAUCUAAACACAAUACACAGAAAACUCAAACUAUCUGACAACAACAGGAAGGUGGUGCAUGUAGAAGAGGACCAGCAGUAUGUUGAUAAUGACGACAGAUUUGAUCAUUGGCCUCAGCUGCUGUGUACCAACACUCUGAUUGGUCGCUGUUACUGGAAGGUGGAGUGGAGAGGUUCAUAUUUCAGUGGCUUACAAAGGAAUAAAACAGAAGGGAAGCUGUGAUGACAGCUGCUUUGGCAAAACUGAUCAUUCCUGGUCUUUGUACUGUGAUGAGGCCAAAUACUUUGCAACUCACAAUUAAAAACCAAGAGCCAUCCCGGUCUCCUCCUUUGCCUGUGACAAAGUAGCAGUGUAUGUGGACUGUCCUAUGGGCACUGUGUCCUUCUAUAACAUAAUCUCUGGCACACUGGUCCACCUCCACACCUUCAACACCACAUUCACUGAACCUGUAUACCCUGGGUUUAGAGUUGGGUUACGUAACUCUCAUAUCUACAUCUGUGCUGACUCAGAAAACUGAUCCUGAGCUCAUAAAGUAGCAAUAAAGCAAAGUUACUGAGCUACAGUAACAAAAGUGUCAUCCAUAUAUAUUUAAAAAUACAUAACAUUAUAAAUUUGACUGUGAUAAAUGUUUCAAAUGUGUUUGAAAUUACACCGAGAGAUCUCAUGCCACCUUCUUAA
Long non-coding RNA from Haplochromis burtoni (Burton's mouthbrooder), 1495 nucleotides. RefSeq lists it as uncharacterized. NCBI's taxonomy places the organism in Eukaryota, Metazoa, Chordata, Actinopteri, Cichliformes, Cichlidae. The transcript has 3 exons. The record is from RefSeq and is a predicted model, not a curated record.